GAGGAAGAGGAGGAGGAGGUGGAGCAACAGUGGCCACUGUUGCCACCACCAGAUUUGAAAUGACCUUCUUGCAACCUUUAGCAAUGCUAUUGUUAUUUACUGCCACUUUAAGAGGCAAACCAGAAGUCCAUGUGAAAAAAAUGAGGAAGAGAUUUCGUUUUGCAGAAGAAGCCUGUAUGAGAGUGGUUGGAUCUGUAGGAUCUCUUUAGGGGCUUGAAGAGUUUUAGACCUAGAUGAAUUAGGAAACAGAAACAGUCCACAGAACUUGGACACAUUCUCCCAGCUGAUCUUCAAAUGGAAGGCAAAGAGCCCAUUGUGUUCCCCCAUGAAAUAAAAGUGAGUUGGAUGACAAUGCAAAUACAGCUCUGAUUCCGUCAAGCAUCCUUUCCUUCAAUCACAGCCUUGUAAAAGUAAAGAAACUAGUUUUUCAGCAUAUAAAAAUAUUAUUAUAUGUCUGGGCUUUGGGGUUUCACAUAGACCACAGAAGAAUGUUUGAAUUUA
Long non-coding RNA from Hemicordylus capensis (graceful crag lizard), 501 nucleotides. RefSeq lists it as uncharacterized. NCBI's taxonomy places the organism in Eukaryota, Metazoa, Chordata, Lepidosauria, Squamata, Cordylidae. The record is from RefSeq and is a predicted model, not a curated record. The transcript is spliced from 3 exons.